This 119-nucleotide ribosomal RNA is filed under the name Pteropus alecto (black flying fox). Lineage: Eukaryota; Metazoa; Chordata; Mammalia; Chiroptera; Pteropodidae. The record is from RNAcentral.
GUCUACGGCCACGCCACCCUGAACGCGCCCGAUCCCGUCUGAGCUCGGAAGCUCAGCAGGGUCGGGCCUGGUCAGUUCUUGGAUGGGAGACCACCCAGGACGACCAGGUGCCGUAGGCA